AAUGGACACAAACAAGACUAAAAUAAUCAAAAAUAGGUGUAUGUGUGACACAUGUGAGUGUAUGUGACAUAAGCCCAUGUCUCACUACUGUAUAUUAUACUACCCAAAAUGAAUAUUUACCUUAUUCUUUUGUUGAUCGCUGCGACAAGCACCGGCGGCACAAAAUAUAAAAGAAAAAAGAAGGAAAGAUGAAGGUGAGAUGAAUGAAAGAGUCGCAGCGAUAGAUCUGAAGAGAUAGGAGAAAGGGAAUUUGAGACGUUGAAAAUUCCAGCGUCUACGGAAUAGCCGAAUUACAGUCGCUGCGGCAAAGAUGAAAGAGAGGAAAAAUAAAAGUGAAAGAGAGAUGAGAGCUUUUUUUAGAUCGCAGGUAGCUGACGUAGCGAUCAAUCAAAGAACAUGGUCAUUAUCUAAUAAAAACUAUUU
This 423-nucleotide small RNA is filed under the name Arabidopsis thaliana (thale cress). Its description in RNAcentral is "ATSL072610". Lineage: Eukaryota; Viridiplantae; Streptophyta; Magnoliopsida; Brassicales; Brassicaceae. The record is from RNAcentral.